UGUGCAUCCAGAAUACAUGAACUUCAUUUAUUUACUUUGGGGAAUGGGAAAACAAAGGCUCUCAUUUACUUUUUUUCUUCUUUUUAACUCUGAACCAGCAGCAGCUCAAUAGCUGUGAGGGGGGAGAGGCAGCCCUGGCAUGGGAGCUGGGCAGGGUGACCACUGGCCAGGAGUCUGCUCCAGUGCUGUUCCUGAUGGGAAACCUUGGCAGCAUUUCCUUUUUCUUUCUCUUCUUUUUCCUUUCAUUUUCAAGCAUUCUUUGUUUGGACUGUGAACAAAGUCUGGUUUUGGAUGAUAUCAGAACGUCGCAGACCUGAGCACUAACACUGUGUUGCUCUCUUGCACUGUCUGCUGUGGCAGCAGAGUUUGGAGUUUUUGGAAUAAAAUUGUUCAUUGAUGUAUUA
Strigops habroptila (Kakapo) is the source of this 404-nucleotide long non-coding RNA. RefSeq lists it as uncharacterized. The record is from RefSeq and is a predicted model, not a curated record. NCBI's taxonomy places the organism in Eukaryota, Metazoa, Chordata, Aves, Psittaciformes, Psittacidae. The transcript is spliced from 2 exons.